AGGAUUGCAUUGGGAUAGAUGGUUGAGGCUUGAAUCUUGUAUUUUUGAUGGACAUCACCAUAUGUGUUGGAAUGACAUUACUUGAAUUGCUCUUGAGAUACCACUUAGGAUCUUUGACCUUGAUACCAUUUGGUGGGGCACUCCCCCUAUGUCAUAGCAUGGGUCAUUCACUUGUCAAUCUUGUUGGUGAGGGAACUUUCUUUGC
Molecule: long non-coding RNA, 205 nt
Filed under: Sorghum bicolor (sorghum)
Lineage: Eukaryota; Viridiplantae; Streptophyta; Magnoliopsida; Poales; Poaceae
Description: long non-coding RNA (SBIC_LNC008474)
Source: RNAcentral